This 558-nucleotide ribosomal RNA is filed under the name uncultured bacterium. RNAcentral's name for it is "bacterial SSU rRNA". It matches the Rfam family "Bacterial small subunit ribosomal RNA", at positions 102 to 694 of the family's 1533-position model. The record is from RNAcentral.
ACGGGUGAGUAACGCGUGAGAAUCUGCCUUCAGGUUGGGGACAACAGUUGGAAACGACUGCUAAUACCCAAUGUGCCGAGAGGUGAAAGCUUUAGUGCCUGAAGAUGAGCUCGCGUCUGAUUAGCUAGUUGGUGAGGUAAUGGCUUACCAAGGCGACGAUCAGUAGCUGGUCUGAGAGGAUGAUCAGCCACACUGGGACUGAGACACGGCCCAGACUCCUACGGGAGGCAGCAGUGGGGAAUUUUCCGCAAUGGGCGCAAGCCUGACGGAGCAAGACCGCGUGAGGGAGGAAGGCUCUUGGGUUGUAAACCUCUUUUAUCAGGGAAGAAGAUCUGACGGUACCUGAUGAAUCAGCAUCGGCUAACUCCGUGCCAGCAGCCGCGGUAAUACGGAGGAUGCAAGCGUUAUCCGGAUUUAUUGGGCGUAAAGCGUCCGCAGGUGGUUUUUCAAGUCUGCUGUUAAAGCGCGAGGCUUAACUUCGUACAGGCAGUGGAAACUGGGAGACUUGAGUAUGGUAGGGGUAGCGGGAAUUCCCAGUGUAGCGGUGAAAUGCGUAGA